This 376-nucleotide ribosomal RNA is filed under the name uncultured Glomus. RNAcentral describes it as "bacterial SSU rRNA". It matches the Rfam family "Eukaryotic small subunit ribosomal RNA", at positions 635 to 1016 of the family's 1831-position model. Lineage: Eukaryota; Fungi; Glomeromycota; Glomeromycetes; Glomerales; Glomeraceae. The record is from RNAcentral.
UGAAUUUCGGGAUCAGUGGAUCGGUCAUGCCUAUGGUAUGUACUCUGACGAGAGACCUGCACUUCUUGAAGAACUGUAAUGUCAUUAAUUUGGUGUUGCAGGGAAACAGGACUGUUACUUUGAAAAAAUUAGAGUGUUUAAAGCAGGUAACGCUUGAAUACAUUAGCAUGGAAUAAUGAAAUAGGACGUUCGAUCCUAUUUUGUUGGUUUCUAGGAUUGACGUAAUGAUUAAUAGGGAUAGUUGGGGGCAUUAGUAUUCAAUUGUCAGAGGUGAAAUUCUUGGAUUUAUUGAAGACUAACUACUGCGAAAGCAUUUGCCAAGGAUGUUUUCAUUAAUCAAGAACGAAAGUUAGGGGAUCGAAGACGAUCAGAUACC